RNAcentral lists this ribosomal RNA (253 nucleotides) under uncultured bacterium. RNAcentral describes it as "partial 16S ribosomal RNA". It matches the Rfam family "Bacterial small subunit ribosomal RNA", at positions 524 to 776 of the family's 1533-position model. The record is from RNAcentral.
UACGUAGGGGGCCAGCGUUGCUCGGAAUUACUGGGCGUAAAGGGUUCGUAGGCGGUGCGGCAAGUUGGGAGUGAAAUCUCUGGGCUUAACUCAGGGGCUGCUUUCAAAACUGCCGCGCUCGAGUGCGAGAGAGGUCAGUGGAAUUGCAGGUGUAGCGGUGAAAUGCGCAGAUAUCAGGAGGAACACCGGUGGCGAAGGCGGGUCUCUGGGCCGAUACUGACGCUGAGGAGCGAAAGCGUGGGGAGCGAACAGG